AAGAUAAGGAACGAUAUAACUAGAUUUGAGCAAGGCGAGGAAGAGAGUUUGUAUGAUGCGUGGGAGCGUAUGAAAGGAUACACGAGAGCUUGUCCUCAUCAUGGUAU
Molecule: small nucleolar RNA, 107 nt
Filed under: Arabis alpina (gray rockcress)
Lineage: Eukaryota; Viridiplantae; Streptophyta; Magnoliopsida; Brassicales; Brassicaceae
Description: snRNA ENSRNAG00050206177
Source: RNAcentral